This 183-nucleotide non-coding RNA is filed under the name Psychromonas algicola. Its description in RNAcentral is "Psychromonas sp. RZ5 6S / SsrS RNA". It matches the Rfam family "6S / SsrS RNA". From Rfam's summary of the family: E. coli 6S RNA was the first non coding RNA to be sequenced, but its function was unknown until recently. It consists of 184 nucleotides that fold into an extended hairpin structure with a large single-stranded internal bulge. The 6S RNA specifically associates with RNA polymerase holoenzyme containing the sigma70 specificity factor. The record is from Rfam by way of RNAcentral. Lineage: Bacteria; Pseudomonadati; Pseudomonadota; Gammaproteobacteria; Alteromonadales; Psychromonadaceae.
UUAAUCCUCGGGCACCCGUUAAUCUUGACUAAGUCCCUGAGCCGAUAAGCUUUACCUUGGUGAAUUCGGUUGGAUACUAUUGUGUAAACUCGGCUAGUAUCGAGAAACCUACGGUAUACACGAAUACGCCACCUUGACCUUCGGGUUCAAGGUCAAAGUCAAUAGCGGUGCCCCUGGAUUACC